UGCAAGUCGAGGGGUAUAGCACUUCGGUGCUAGAGACCGGCGCACGGGUGCGUAACGCGUAUGCAAUCUGCCUUUCACAGAGGGAUAGCCCAGAGAAAUUUGGAUUAAUACCUCAUAGUAUUAUGACUCGGCAUCGAGAUAUAAUUAAAGUCACAACGGUGAAAGAUGAGCAUGCGUCCCAUUAGCUAGUUGGUAAGGUAACGGCUUACCAAGGCAACGAUGGGUAGGGGUCCUGAGAGGGAGAUCCCCCACACUGGUACUGAGACACGGACCAGACUCCUACGGGAGGCAGCAGUGAGGAAUAUUGGACAAUGGGCGCAAGCCUGAUCCAGCCAUGCCGCGUGCAGGAUGACGGUCCUAUGGAUUGUAAACUGCUUUUGUACGAGAAGAAACACUGAUUCGUGAAUCAGCUUGACGGUAUCGUAAGAAUAAGGAUCGGCUAACUCCGUGCCAGCAGCCGCGGUAAUACGGAGGAUCCAAGCGUUAUCCGGAAUCAUUGGGUUUAAAGGGUCCGUAGGCGGUUUAGUAAGUCAGUGGUGAAAGCCCAUCGCUCAACGGUGGAACGGCCAUUGAUACUGCUGAACUUGAAUUAUUAGGAAGUAACUAGAAUAUGUAGUGUAGCGGUGAAAUGCUUAGAGAUUACAUGGAAUACCAAUUGCGAAGGCAGGUUACUACUAAUUGAUUGACGCUGAUGGACGAAAGCGUGGGGAGCGAACAGGAUUAGAUACCCUGGUAGUCCACGCCGUAAACGAUGGAUACUAGCUGUUGGGAGCGAUCUCA
RNAcentral lists this ribosomal RNA (780 nucleotides) under Flavobacterium sp. P4D3. Its description in RNAcentral is "bacterial SSU rRNA". It matches the Rfam family "Bacterial small subunit ribosomal RNA", at positions 56 to 842 of the family's 1533-position model. The record is from RNAcentral. Lineage: Bacteria; Pseudomonadati; Bacteroidota; Flavobacteriia; Flavobacteriales; Flavobacteriaceae.